RNAcentral lists this unclassified non-coding RNA (376 nucleotides) under soil metagenome. Its description in RNAcentral is "partial contains 5.8S ribosomal RNA, internal transcribed spacer 2, and large subunit ribosomal RNA". The stretch from base 1 to 120 matches the Rfam family "5.8S ribosomal RNA", at positions 35 to 154 of the family's 154-position model. The record is from RNAcentral.
GAUGAAGAACGUAGCGAAAUGCGAUACGUAAUGUGAAUUGCAGAAUUCAGUGAAUCAUCGAAUCUUUGAACGCAUCUUGCGCUCCUUGGUAUUCUGAGGAGCAUGCCUGUUUGAGUGUCAUUAAAUUCUCAACUACACUGACUUUGAAUUGGUGUGGCUUGGAUUUGGGGGGAAAAUUGUUGUGGGCUUUUUGUAUAGUCUGCUCCCCAGAAAUUGAUUAGCGGUACCUUUGUGGAACUGUCUACAGGUGUGAUAAUUAUCUACAUCUUAGACAUCUGCUGGAAUGCUGCUUUCUAAACCUUACUUGUAUUGACAAUCUUGACCUCAAAUCAGGUAGGACUACCCGCUGAACUUAAGCAUAUCAAUAAGCGGAGGA